This 170-nucleotide unclassified non-coding RNA is filed under the name uncultured fungus. RNAcentral's name for it is "sequence contains ITS1, 5.8S rRNA gene". The record is from RNAcentral. Lineage: Eukaryota; Fungi.
CUGAGUGUAAAAACUCCCAACCCUUUGUGAACAUACCUCUGUUGCUUCGGCGGAUGCGCCCCGGGCGCGCCUUCUAGGAGGCGUGCCCCGGAACCAGGCGCCCGCCGGGGGACCUACAAACUCUUGUAUUCCUAGCGGAUCUCUGAGUGUGAUUUAAACAAAUCAAAUCA